GCAGUCGAGGGGCAGCACGGCACUUCGGUCUGGUGGCGACCGGCGCACGGGUGUGUAACGCGUAUGCAACCUGCCUUAUACAGGGGUAUAGCCCAUGGAAACGUGGAUUAACACCCCAUAGUAUCAUGAAUCUGCAUGGAUUUAUGAUUAAAACUUCGGUGGUAUAAGAUGGGCAUGCGUAGGAUUAGCUAGUAGGUAGUGUAACGGACUACCUAGGCGACGAUCCUUAGGGGUUCUGAGAGGAUUAUCCCCCACACUGGUACUGAGACACGGACCAGACUCCUACGGGAGGCAGCAGUGAGGAAUAUUGGUCAAUGGACGCGAGUCUGAACCAGCCAUCCCGCGUGCAGGAUGACGGCCCUAUGGGUUGUAAACUGCUUUUCUACGCCAAGAAACCUGGUUACGAGUAACCAGCUGACGGUAGCGUAGGAAUAAGCAUCGGCUAACUCCGUGCCAGCAGCCGCGGUAAUACGGAGGAUGCAAGCGUUAUCCGGAUUCAUUGGGUUUAAAGGGUGCGCAGGUGGGCUUGUAAGUCAGUGGUGAAAUGCUGCCGCUUAACGGUAGAACUGCCAUUGAUACUGCGAGUCUUGAGUAUGGUUGAGGUAGGCGGAAUGUGUUGUGUAGCGGUGAAAUGCAUAGAUAUGACACAGAACGCCGAUUGCGAAGGCAGCUUACUAAGCCAUUACUGACGCUGAGGCACGAAAGCGUGGGGAGCGAACAGGAUUAGAUACCCUGGUAGUCCACGCCGUAAACGAUGUUCACUCGCUGUCUGCGAUACACA
RNAcentral lists this ribosomal RNA (781 nucleotides) under uncultured Bacteroidota bacterium. Its description in RNAcentral is "bacterial SSU rRNA". It matches the Rfam family "Bacterial small subunit ribosomal RNA", at positions 57 to 835 of the family's 1533-position model. Lineage: Bacteria; Pseudomonadati; Bacteroidota. The record is from RNAcentral.